RNAcentral lists this ribosomal RNA (1189 nucleotides) under Salmonella enterica subsp. enterica serovar Kentucky. Its description in RNAcentral is "bacterial SSU rRNA". It matches the Rfam family "Bacterial small subunit ribosomal RNA", at positions 1 to 1182 of the family's 1533-position model. The record is from RNAcentral. Lineage: Bacteria; Pseudomonadati; Pseudomonadota; Gammaproteobacteria; Enterobacterales; Enterobacteriaceae.
AAAUUGAAGAGUUUGAUCAUGGCUCAGAUUGAACGCUGGCGGCAGGCCUAACACAUGCAAGUCGAACGGUAGCACAGAGAGCUUGCUCUCGGGUGACGAGUGGCGGACGGGUGAGUAAUGUCUGGGAAACUGCCCGAUGGAGGGGGAUAACUACUGGAAACGGUAGCUAAUACCGCAUAACGUCGCAAGACCAAAGUGGGGGACCUUCGGGCCUCACACCAUCGGAUGUGCCCAGAUGGGAUUAGCUAGUAGGUGGGGUAACGGCUCACCUAGGCGACGAUCCCUAGCUGGUCUGAGAGGAUGACCAGCCACACUGGAACUGAGACACGGUCCAGACUCCUACGGGAGGCAGCAGUGGGGAAUAUUGCACAAUGGGCGCAAGCCUGAUGCAGCCAUGCCGCGUGUAUGAAGAAGGCCUUCGGGUUGUAAAGUACUUUCAGCGAGGAGGAAGGCGUUGUGGUUAAUAACCACAGCGAUUGACGUUACUCGCAGAAGAAGCACCGGCUAACUCCGUGCCAGCAGCCGCGGUAAUACGGAGGGUGCAAGCGUUAAUCGGAAUUACUGGGCGUAAAGCGCACGCAGGCGGUUUGUUAAGUCAGAUGUGAAAUCCCCGGGCUCAACCUGGGAACUGCAUUUGAAACUGGCAAGCUUGAGUCUCGUAGAGGGGGGUAGAAUUCCAGGUGUAGCGGUGAAAUGCGUAGAGAUCUGGAGGAAUACCGGUGGCGAAGGCGGCCCCCUGGACAAAGACUGACGCUCAGGUGCGAAAGCGUGGGGAGCAAACAGGAUUAGAUACCCUGGUAGUCCACGCCGUAAACGAUGUCUACUUGGAGGUUGUGCCCUUGAGGCGUGGCUUCCGGAGCUAACGCGUUAAGUAGACCGCCUGGGGAGUACGGCCGCAAGGUUAAAACUCAAAUGAAUUGACGGGGGCCCGCACAAGCGGUGGAGCAUGUGGUUUAAUUCGAUGCAACGCGAAGAACCUUACCUGGUCUUGACAUCCACGGAAGUUUUCAGAGAUGAGAAUGUGCCUUCGGGAACCGUGAGACAGGUGCUGCAUGGCUGUCGUCAGCUCGUGUUGUGAAAUGUUGGGUUAAGUCCCGCAACGAGCGCAACCCUUAUCCUUUGUUGCCAGCGGUUAGGCCGGGAACUCAAAGGAGACUGCCAGUGAUAAACUGGAGGAAGGUGGGGAUGA